RNAcentral lists this unclassified non-coding RNA (198 nucleotides) under rhizosphere metagenome. Its description in RNAcentral is "partial ribosomal RNA internal transcribed spacer region". The record is from RNAcentral.
GUAGUCACCCGGGUUGCCGCAAGGCCUCUCGGGUAACCUACCACCCUUUGUUUAUUACACUUUGUUGCUUUGGCAAGCCUGCCCUCGGGCUGCUGGCUCCGGCCGGCGAGCGCUUGCCAGAGGAAACAAACUCUGUUUUUAGUGAUGUCUGAGUACUAUAUAAUAGUUAAAACUUUCAACAACGGAUCUCUUGGUUCU